AGGAUUAACGCUGGCGGCGUGCCUAACACAUGCAAGUCGAACGAGGUAGCAAUACCUAGUGGCAGACGGGUGAGUAACGCGUGGUCAACCUACCGUUGAGUGGGGGAUAACUAGCCGAAAGGUUAGCUAAUACCGCAUACGAGUCUCGGGGGCAUCCCUGGGCCUUAAAAGGAGCAAUCCGCUCGAUGACGGGACCGCGUCCCAUUAGCUAGAUGGUGGGGUAACGGCCUACCAUGGCACCGAUGGGUAGCUGGUUUGAGAGAGCGACCAGCCACACUGGGACUGAGAAACGGCCCAGACUCCUACGGGAGGCAGCAGUGAGGAAUUUUCCGCAAUGGGCGAAAGCCUGACGGAGCGACGCCGCGUGUGGGAAGAAGGCCUUCGGGUCGUAAACCACUGUCGAAGGGACGAUAAUGACGGUACCUUGGAGGAAGCCCCGGCUAACUACGCGCCAGCAGCCGC
RNAcentral lists this ribosomal RNA (462 nucleotides) under uncultured bacterium. RNAcentral's name for it is "SSU rRNA". It matches the Rfam family "Bacterial small subunit ribosomal RNA", at positions 26 to 518 of the family's 1533-position model. The record is from RNAcentral.